AGAGUUUGAUCCUGGCUCAGAACGAACGCUGGCGGCGUGGAUAAGACAUGCAAGUCGAACGGGACAGUCUUGUAGCAAUAUGAGACUGUUCAGUGGCGAACGGGUGCGUAACACGUGGGUCACAUUCCGGGAAGUGAGAAAUAGCCCAGGGAAACUUGGAUUAAUAUCUCAUGUGGUCGCAAGACUAAAGGCGCAAGCCGCUUCCUGAUUGGCCCGCGGCCUAUCAGCUAGUUGGUGAGGUAAUGGCUCACCAAGGCAACGACGGGUAGCUGGUCUGAGAGGACGACCAGCCACACUGGAACUGAGACACGGUCCAGACACCUACGGGUGGCAGCAGUCGAGAACCUUUCACAAUGGGCGAAAGCCUGAUGGAGCGACGCCGCGUGGAGGUUAAGGUCUUCGGAUUGUAAACUCCUGUCAUGCGAGAACAAAGCCCGCAAGGGUGUGAUAGACCGCAAGAGAAGAGCGA
This 469-nucleotide ribosomal RNA is filed under the name uncultured soil bacterium. RNAcentral describes it as "bacterial SSU rRNA". It matches the Rfam family "Bacterial small subunit ribosomal RNA", at positions 8 to 495 of the family's 1533-position model. The record is from RNAcentral.